Molecule: ribosomal RNA, 459 nt
Filed under: uncultured Desulfobulbus sp.
Lineage: Bacteria; Pseudomonadati; Thermodesulfobacteriota; Desulfobulbia; Desulfobulbales; Desulfobulbaceae
Description: bacterial SSU rRNA
Rfam family: Bacterial small subunit ribosomal RNA
Source: RNAcentral
ACAAGCGGUGGAGCAUGUGGUUUAAUUCGACGCAACGCGCAGAACCUUACCUGGGCUUGAAAUCUGUGGAAUCUGUAUGAAAGUAUGGGGUGCCCUUCGGGGAGCCGCAAGACAGGUGCUGCAUGGCUGUCGUCAGCUCGUGCCGUGAGAUGUUGGGUUAAGUCCCGCAACGAGCGCAACCCUUGCCUUUAGUUGCCAGCAGUUCGGCUGGGCACUCUAAAGGGACUGCCGGUGUUAAACCGGAGGAAGGUGGGGAUGACGUCAAGUCCUCAUGGCCUUUAUGACCAGGGCUACACACGUACUACAAUGGCCGAUACAAAGGGCAGCGACACUGCGAGGUGAAGCCAAUCCCGUAAAAUCGGUCUCAGUCCGGAUUGGAGUCUGCAACUCGACUCCAUGAAGUUGGAAUCGCUAGUAAUCGUGGAUCAGCAUGCCACGGUGAAUACGUUCCCGGGCCUU